CCGGCCACACUGGGACUGAGACACGGCCCAGACUCCUACGGGAGGCAGCAGUGGGGAAUAUUGCACAAUGGGCGAAAGCCUGAUGCAGCGACGCCGCGUGAGGGAUGACGGCCUUCGGGUUGUAAACCUCUUUCGACAGGGACGAAGCGCAAGUGACGGUACCUGUAGAAGAAGCACCGGCCAACUACGUGCCAGCAGCCGCGGUAAUACGUAGGGUGCGAGCGUUGUCCGGAAUUACUGGGCGUAAAGAGCUUGUAGGCGGUUUGUCGCGUCGUCCGUGAAAACUUGGGGCUCAACCCCAAGCUUGCGGGCGAUACGGGCAGACUUGAGUACUGCAGGGGAGACUGGAAUUCCUGGUGUAGCGGUGAAA
RNAcentral lists this ribosomal RNA (370 nucleotides) under Nocardia farcinica. RNAcentral describes it as "bacterial SSU rRNA". It matches the Rfam family "Bacterial small subunit ribosomal RNA", at positions 304 to 686 of the family's 1533-position model. The record is from RNAcentral. Lineage: Bacteria; Bacillati; Actinomycetota; Actinomycetes; Mycobacteriales; Nocardiaceae.